AGUAAAAUAGUCUAAUGGUAAGACAAUAAAUUUUGAUAAUUAAAGAUGAAAGUAAUUAUAAUUGAAGACAAUUUGCUUUUACUU
This 84-nucleotide transfer RNA is filed under the name Tetranychus urticae (two-spotted spider mite). Its description in RNAcentral is "tRNA tetur07g08026". The record is from RNAcentral. Lineage: Eukaryota; Metazoa; Arthropoda; Arachnida; Trombidiformes; Tetranychidae.